UACGUUUGGUGCGAGCGUUGUCCGGAUUUACUGGGCGUGAAGGGGGCGCAGGCGGCGCGCCAAGCCCGAUGUGAAAGCCCGGGGCUCAACCCCGGGACUGCAUUGGGAACUGGCGUGCUGGAGUGCCGGAGGGGCAGGCGGAAUUCCUGGUGUAGCGGUGAAAUGCGUAGAUAUCAGGAGGAACACCGGUGGCGAAGGCGGCCUGCUGGACGGAUACUGACGCUGAGGCCCGAAAGCAUGGGGAGCGAACAGG
RNAcentral lists this ribosomal RNA (253 nucleotides) under uncultured bacterium. Its description in RNAcentral is "partial 16S ribosomal RNA". It matches the Rfam family "Bacterial small subunit ribosomal RNA", at positions 524 to 776 of the family's 1533-position model. The record is from RNAcentral.